GAAAGUAAAGAAGGGCGUAUGGCGGAUGCCUAGGCUCUCGGAGGCGAAGAAGGACGUGAUAAGCUGCGAUAAGCUGCGGCGAGGAGCAAAUAUCCUGUGACCCGCAGAUUUCCGAAUGGGGCAACCCGGCAGGACCACCUGUCAUCCCGGGAAACGGGAAGCAAACGUGGGGAACUGAAACAUCUCAUUACCCACAGGAAAAGAAAAUAACAAUGAUUCCGUCAGUAGUGGCGAGCGAAAGCGGAAGAGCCCAAACCGGUUCUGUUUCGGCAGAGCCGGGGUAGAAGGACUGCAUACGACAAAGGAGCAGGUAGCCGAACGGUCUGGAAAGGCCGGUCAAAGACGGUGAUAACCCGGUAGGCGAAACCAGCGACAGCGACAGCAGUAUCCUGAGUAGUGCGGGACACGAGAAAUCCUGUAUGAAUCUGCGGGGACCAUCCCGUAAGGCUAAAUACUCCCGAGAGACCGAUAGCGAACCAGUACUGUGAAGGAAAGGUGAAAAGAACCUCGAACAGAGGAGUGAAAAAGACCCUGAAACCAUACGCCUACAAGCGGUCGGAGCCCCUACGUGGGGUGACGGCGUGCCUUUUGCAUAAUGAACCUACGAGUUACUUUUGCCAGCCAGGUUAAUCGAUUCAGUCGAGGAGCCGAAGCGAAAGCGAGUCUUAAUAGGGCGGUAUAAGUUGGCAGGAGUAGACGCGAAACCAAGUGAUCUACCCAUGAGCAGGUUGAAGGUUAGGUAACACUAACUGGAGGACCGCACCGGUAAACGUUGAAAAGUUUUCGGAUGACUUGUGGGUAGGGGUGAAAGGCUAAUCAAACUUGGAGAUAGCUCGUACUCCCCGAAAUGCAUUUAGGUGCAGCCUUCUGAAUAUAUUUAAGAGGUAGAGCGACUGAUAAGAUGCGAGGGCUUCACCGCCUAUCAAGUCUUGAUAAACUCCGAAUGCUUAAAUAUGAAUCAGAGGAGUGAGGGCAUGGGUGCUAAGGUCCAUGUCCGAGAGGGAAAUAACCCAGACCACCGGCUAAGGUCCCGAAAUAACGGCUAAGUUGAAUUAACGAAGUAGAAUUGCAAAGACAGCUAGGAUGUUGGCUUGGAAGCAGCCAUUCAUUUAAAGAGUGCGUAACAGCUCACUAGUCGAGGAGUUCUGCGUGGAUAAUAAUCGGGCAUAAGCCGUUUACCGAAGCUGUGGAAUUGGCAACAAUUGGUAGGGGAGCAUUCCAUAAGCCGCAGAAGGUUUUCCUUGAGGAAUGCUGGAGGUAAUGGAAAAGCAAAUGUAGGUAUAAGUAACGAUAAAGAGGGCGAGAACCCCUCUCGCCGAAAGACCAAGGGUUCCUGAUCAACGCUAAUCGGAUCAGGGUAAGUCGGGCCCUAAGGCGCAGCCGAACGGCGCAGCCGAUGGCAGAAACGGUUAAUAUUCCGUUACUAUGAUACGGAGUGACGAGGAGACGGAGAAGUGACACUCUCGCCUGCUGACGGAAUAGCAGGUUGAACGGAGUAGAUAAUGACAUGGUAGGCAAAUCCGCCGUGACAGUCGAACCGGAUAGUACUGGGCGCCCCCGGGCAACCAGAUAGCAGAGGUAAUCAGGCUCCCGAGAAAAUCCCCUAAACAUAUGCGUAUCAUACCCGUACCCUAAACGGACACACGUGGUUGAGUAGAAAAUACUAAGGCGCUCGAGCGACUCACGGUUAAGGAACUAGGCAAAUUGACCCUGUAACUUCGGGACAAAGGGUCCCUCCCUCCGGGGAGGGCGCAGAGAAUAGGUCCAGGCAACUGUUUAACAAAAACACAGGGCUGUGCGAAAUUGAAAGAUGAAGUAUACAGCCUGACACCUGCCCGGUGCUGGAAGGUUAAGAGGAGAUGUCAUCGCAAGAGAAGCGUUGAAUUGAAGCCCCAGUAAACGGCGGCCGUAACUAUAACGGUCCUAAGGUAGCGAAAUUCCUUGUC
RNAcentral lists this ribosomal RNA (1946 nucleotides) under human gut metagenome. RNAcentral describes it as "bacterial LSU rRNA". It matches the Rfam family "Bacterial large subunit ribosomal RNA", at positions 1 to 1973 of the family's 2925-position model. The record is from RNAcentral.